This 328-nucleotide ribosomal RNA is filed under the name uncultured eukaryote. RNAcentral describes it as "partial 18S ribosomal RNA". It matches the Rfam family "Eukaryotic small subunit ribosomal RNA", at positions 1470 to 1796 of the family's 1831-position model. The record is from RNAcentral.
CCCUUAGAUGUCCUGGGCCGCACGCGCGUUACACUGAUGCAUUCAACGAGCUUAUAACCUUGGCCGAGAGGCCUGGGCAAUCUUGUUAGCGUGCAUCGUGAUAGGGAUAGAUUAUUGAAAUUAUUAAUCUUGAACGAGGAAUUCCUAGUAAACGCAGAUCAUCAAUCUGCAUUGAUUACGUCCCUGCCCUUUGCACACACCGCCCGUCGCACCUACCGAUUGGAUGGUCCGGUGAAGCCUCGGGAUUGUGGUUCUUGCCGCUUUAUUGUGGCGUGACCGCGAGAACUUGUCUAAACCUUAUCAUCUAGAGGAAGGUGAAGUCGUAACA